CCCGUGGCUUCUGGAGUCUUCUAGAUGUAAGAUAAUUGCGCGGCACGUUAAUAUCUCUAUGUAAUCCCGACGUGUGGGCCUUUCUUUCGUAUUUCCUGAUAACCCCCUGCAGAAAUAGACAAACACCAAAACUCGUAGAAUUCUGUCAAAUAAAACCCUAAGUCUAGAUGUUGAUUUCAUUUGGAUCCUUUUCUUUGUUUAUUUGAUAAUUAAAUUUGAUACUUAAGGACUGUCAACAAACUCCCCCAAGCUUACCUCUUGGUCGUCCCUGAGCAAGGAUAGACUCAGCAAUGGAUCAGAAGUUGUUGCAAUAUCUUAAAAAUUUGACGGUACACAUGCUUUUAAAUAAGAUCUCAUCUCUGAGUUAGAGUAAACUGUCAAGAACUAAAACUUACUUACUUUACCUUUCACCAUGGGACUUGUAACCGUCACUUCUAUCUUGAGUAGUUAAAAGAUAGAACAGUCUAGCCAAGUGCCAUGUCUAUUAUUCUUAAUCAGCUAUAGCUCUGGAGUUUUUGUAGAUUUUCAAAUAAAACUCAGAGAUUCCUUGUAUGACUCUCUAAAUCUCUCUUUUAUGGUAUUUCUGGAUCCUUACCAAGGCAGUGAUGGUAUAUGCCUUCUCUCAAGAUAUAUGGUAUUUGUGGUAUAGUGACAUUGCCUUCUCUCUCACCCUACUCUAAUAAGGCUUUAAUAUCUGGAGCUCAUAGGUGGGAGACAACUAAUACAUACUUACAAGACAUUUAUUGCAUAGUCAAACCAUGGAUCCAGAGAAACAAGUCAAUAAGUCAAAUCAAGAUGUGCAUGUGUGGCGAAUGAUAACAAUGGUGAAAGUCUAAUUUUACUUUUGCUCUUUUGAGGGGAUACAUACCUUCCUUGCUUUUUGAAACUUUAUGAGGAGAAUGAGAUGCUCUUCUUUUUCUUUCCUCUCAGGUGGGUAUCUUGUACCUCUAAUUCUACUGUCGGACACUUGUCCAUUUUUACCUCUCGUCUCACUUUUUCUUUCUUUCGAGGUUCCGGGCACUUACCCCUUUUUAUUUCCUCGUUUAUUAUUUAUUUUUAUUUUUUUUCAGAGCACUCAUCUCUUGAGAUAAUAUAGCAAGUGGUAGUAGCCAGAUAACUUGAGCAUUUAUUUCACAAGGGAAAACAGAAAUAUUUUUGGCUAUUCUCUCCCGGAUUAGGAGUAGAAUAUUUUUGGGUGGUUCUGGAGAUGGACAUGGAUGGAUAUAUGUGGAUGGUACUUCCGGAGUAGAAGUAGCAUAUAUGAGUGAACGUGCAAGUGAAUCUCGAUUUAACCACAUGUCAAGCUCCUAAGGGUUUACACAGCUUGACCACACUCAAUGCUCAUAAGCAGUAAAUAGUAAAUGUGUGGCUCAAAGUCUAGCAAGCAUGUAUAUAUGGCUGUGGUAGGAAUUUAAACUCUCAUCAUACAGAAACUCAUCAUGCAAUAUUUUAAAGAUUUUCAAAGAUAAAAAUUCUCCAGAAUUAUAGCAUCUCUAGGAACAGAUAAACAGCAGCUCAACUUUCUCAUAUUAUAUCCGUUAACAACUUAGAUUUCAGAUCAAGUUUUCAUCCCACAAAUUUAGAUCUAGAGCAAGCUUUAAAUUAUAACAGUUAUGUCUAAACUUGCGAGAGAACUUCAAAUUUGCAAAUUAGGCAGAGCAACUAUUCAUCAUAUCCAUGCUAGAGUUUUAUUAUUAAGAUUCAGAUUAGCAUAGCCACUUUAUUUAUUUAUUAAACACACUAAGCAAAAGAUAUAUAUAUAAGCACAAAAUCUUUAUUUGGUUUUUCAUAGUUUUUGUAUUUUAAUAUUCUAACAUAAGUAUAAAGAUAGGUAGAAAUACUUAGCGAGAUAAAUGGGUGUGCUCUUCCCCCAAGCUGAAUUUUGACGUAAUUUCUCUUGAUGUAGCUAGCAGGUGGCAGAGGUGUAUUUAAAAGUCAGCAGCAUUCUGACAGCGAUUAGAAUGUCCUCCGUCUACUAGUCUUCUUGAUUCUUAAAUUCUGUGGAGCUCAAAUAGACAACAAAGCUUGUGGAACUAAUUAAGUGUUAGAUAAAUAUCUAGCCUUCAUCAUGUUGAGCUUCCUCAAUAAAUAUUACUCCCUGUUUUUAUAUUUUUAUUUUAUAAAGCAGAAAAGAAAUAUUUAUUUUAUUUUUAUGCCACCACAGUGAAGGUACUUAUGGUUUUAUGCCACUCGUAUACUCACAUGAGGCUUAGUAUUUUUUAACAUUUUUAUUUUCUUUUCAAGAUAGCAUGAUUAACUAAUAAUCUAUUUAAGGGAAGUAAAUAAUUAAAGGGAAAAGGGAAUGCAGAAAGGAUAAAUAUGGAUAACUACCGAUCUUACCUUUCGGCGAGGGUUCAAUGUUUUAAGUCUUCUUAACAAGACUUCUCACCGUGUUCAUUCUUCAGGUGCGUCAUUUGAUUCAGGUGCGGACCUUGACGUCUGCACCUCUUCGUUUGCCCAGCAGUUCGAAGUGCGGCAUUGGCAGUGUCCUGCUCAGUGUGUUUGUGCUCGUAGAUCCAGGUCCUUCACUUGGUAGAGUCUGAGAGUUAUAAAACUCCUCUGUGUUUUGCUCGAAGUGUACCUGCUCAUAGAGACAAGGCAGAGAUCAAGUGCAUGGGUCCUGUUGGUGGAAAACACCAACAGAACCUAAAGUGUAUUUCUCUAACCCUAAGCAUAGUGAGCAAGACAAAGUUGAUGGAUGAAAAGUUCAUGAGUUUAGCACUUAUAACAUUUGUCAUAUCAGAUCACUCAACCUUAUGGAAAGAUAAUCUAUCUAUGUAUAUGUCUUUUUCUUUAUAUCUCUCAAUGAUUGAAUGUGUAACAUUUUAGCUCAUAUGAUUAGGAGUGUGGGAUCAUGAAGGUAGUACUAAGAACAAGGAUUAAAGGACUAAACAUGUUGAAUCAGUUGGGUUGGUUAAUCUAGAGUUGUAAAUCGUACAUGUUUGUCUCUUUUAUUUAUAUGAACGCCAGAACCAAGGAGAAGCUUAUAAAAGUGAUAGUCAAGUACCUUAAGAUGUUACCUUGCUUGAAGAGUGAUGGUACAGUAUCACCUUGUGGAAGCUUUCCUUUCUUAGCGGUUGUGCAUCGUGUUUGUGGCACCCUCCAUGGAUCAUCUCUCUAUGAUGAAUGAGCUAUGUCCUUCUUGUGCAAAUUGUUAAACUUCAUGUGUCACUCUCUUCGUCUCUGAUGUGAGUUUAUCUCAGGACUUCCCAAAUCGAUAUUGAAAGUUUUUCUGUAGGGGUU
This 3243-nucleotide long non-coding RNA is filed under the name Sorghum bicolor (sorghum). RNAcentral's name for it is "long non-coding RNA (SBIC_LNC013574)". The record is from RNAcentral. Lineage: Eukaryota; Viridiplantae; Streptophyta; Magnoliopsida; Poales; Poaceae.